RNAcentral lists this ribosomal RNA (254 nucleotides) under uncultured bacterium. RNAcentral's name for it is "partial 16S ribosomal RNA". It matches the Rfam family "Bacterial small subunit ribosomal RNA", at positions 524 to 776 of the family's 1533-position model. The record is from RNAcentral.
UACGUAGGGGGCAAGCGUUGUCCGGAUUUACUGGGCGUAAAGGGCGCGUAGGCGGUCAGCACAAGUCAGUUGUGAAAUCUCCGGGCUUAACUCGGAAAGGUCAACUGAUACUGUGCGACUAGAGUGCAGAAGGGGCAACUGGAAUUCUCGGUGUAGCGGUGAAAUGCGUAGAUAUCUGGAGGAACACCGGUGGCGAAGGCGGCAUCCUGGACCGGUAUUGACGCUGAUGCGCGAAAGCCAGGGGAGCAAACGGG